RNAcentral lists this ribosomal RNA (635 nucleotides) under Rotylenchulus reniformis. RNAcentral describes it as "SSU rRNA". It matches the Rfam family "Eukaryotic small subunit ribosomal RNA", at positions 1003 to 1664 of the family's 1831-position model. Lineage: Eukaryota; Metazoa; Nematoda; Chromadorea; Rhabditida; Hoplolaimidae. The record is from RNAcentral.
GGCGAUCAGAUACCGCUCUAGUUCUGACCGUAAACGAUGCCAACUAGCGAUCCGCCAGUCGACUCAUCGCUCUGGUGGGGAGCUUCCCGGAAACGAAAGUCUUCCGGUUCCGGGGGAAGUAUGGUUGCAAAGCUGAAACUUAAAGGAAUUGACGGAAGGGCACCACCAGGAGUGGAGCCUGCGGCUUAAUUUGACUCAACACGGGGAAACUCACCCGGCCCGGACACCGUAAGGAUUGGCAGAUUGAUAGCUUUUUCAUGAUUCGGUGGAUGGUGGUGCAUGGCCGUUCUUAGUUCGUGGAGCGAUUUGUCUGGUUUAUUCCGAUAACGAGCGAGACUCUGGCCUACUAAAUAGUUGACGCAUUGCCACUGUGCGCACAACUUCUUAGAGGGAUUUUCGGUGUUUUCAACCGCACGAAAUUGAGCAAUAACAGGUCUGUGAUGCCCUUAGAUGUCCGGGGCUGCACGCGCGCUACACUGGCAAACGCAACGUGCCUGUCCUGCCCCGAAAGGAGCGGGUAAACCCCUGAAAUUUUGCCGUGAUUGGGAUCGGACAUUGCAACUAUUGUCCGUGAACGAGGAAUUCCUUGUAGGGGCGAGUCAUCAACUCGUCCCGAAUACGUCCCUGCCCUUGUA